GUCUCCAGCCAUACCAUCUGGAACCCACCUGAUCCCGUCUGAUCUCAGAAGCUAAGCAGAGUCUGGCCUGGUUAAUACUUGGAUGGGAAAAUAACUGGAAGUUGAACCCCAGGAGUCUGGCUACA
RNAcentral lists this ribosomal RNA (125 nucleotides) under Jaculus jaculus (lesser Egyptian jerboa). Lineage: Eukaryota; Metazoa; Chordata; Mammalia; Rodentia; Dipodidae. The record is from RNAcentral.